This 357-nucleotide ribosomal RNA is filed under the name uncultured bacterium. RNAcentral's name for it is "bacterial SSU rRNA". It matches the Rfam family "Bacterial small subunit ribosomal RNA", at positions 796 to 1165 of the family's 1533-position model. The record is from RNAcentral.
CUAGCUGUAAACGAUGUGGACUUGGCGUUGGUGGGGUAAAAUCCAUCAGUGCCGGAGUUAACACGGUAAGUCCACCGCCUGGGGACUACGGCCGCAAGGUUAAAACUCAAAGGAAUUGACGGGGCCCCGCACAAGCAGCGGAGCGUGUGGUUUAAUUCGAUGCUACGCGAAGAACCUUACCCGGGUUUGACAUAUUGGUGGUAGGGAUCCGAAAGGUGACCGACCCUUCGGGGAGCCAAUACAGGUGCUGCAUGGCUGUCGUCAGCUCGUGUCGUGAGAUGUCCGGUUAAGUCCGGUAACGAGCGCAACCCUCGUCGUAUGUUACAAGUGUCACGCGGGACUGCCAGUCUUAAGCUG